UAGGAAGAGGUAGUAGGUUGCAUAGUUUUAGGGCAGGGAUUUUGCUCACACGGAGUUAACUAUACAACCUGCUGCCUUUCUUAGGGC
This is a microRNA precursor of Crocodylus porosus (Australian saltwater crocodile), 87 nucleotides long. NCBI's taxonomy places the organism in Eukaryota, Metazoa, Chordata, Crocodylia, Crocodylidae. The record is from Ensembl.